GGGGGGGGGGCGGGGUCCUUCAGCCCAGAUUGUGAGAGGGUGCAGGCCAGGCUGAGGGACCCCACUGGUGCAUG
This 74-nucleotide microRNA precursor is filed under the name Myotis lucifugus (little brown bat). RNAcentral describes it as "mir-9193 microRNA precursor family". It matches the Rfam family "mir-9193 microRNA precursor family". Lineage: Eukaryota; Metazoa; Chordata; Mammalia; Chiroptera; Vespertilionidae. The record is from Rfam by way of RNAcentral.